AAUGAACGCUAGCGAUAGGCUUAACACAUGCAAGUUGAACGUUUUUUUUUUAGAAAAAACGUAGCGAACGGGUGAGUAACGCGUAAGAAUCUACCUCACAAUUCAUGAAAACACAAUACUGUGCAAAUCGUGGAUACUCAAAGAAAGGUAUAAUGCCGUUGUGAGAUGAGCUUGCGUAGGAUUAGGUUGUUGGUAGGGUAAAAGCCUACCAAGCCGAAGAUCCUUAGCUGAUUUGAGAGAAUGAUCAGCCACACUGGGACUGAGACACGGCCCAGACGCUUUCGAGCGGCAGCAGUGAGGAAUUUUGGACAAUGGGCGAAAGCCUGAUCCAGCCAUAUCGCGUGAGUGAUGAAAACUGUAUUGGUUGUAAAACUCUUUAUUUGAAUCUGUUUUCACAGGAGUUGGCUUUUUUUCUUCUCGUUGGUGGUUCAUCAUGAACCAUCACAGAAAAAGAACCAAUUAAAGAUUAUGACAAAGUUCAAAAAAAAAGUCCCGGCUAAUCUCGUGCCAGCCGCCGCCG
This 520-nucleotide ribosomal RNA is filed under the name uncultured bacterium. RNAcentral's name for it is "partial 16S ribosomal RNA". It matches the Rfam family "Bacterial small subunit ribosomal RNA", at positions 29 to 520 of the family's 1533-position model. The record is from RNAcentral.